Molecule: transfer RNA, 66 nt
Filed under: Creobroter gemmatus
Lineage: Eukaryota; Metazoa; Arthropoda; Insecta; Mantodea; Hymenopodidae
Description: tRNA-Asp
Source: RNAcentral
AAGAAGUUAGUUAAAAUAUAACAUUAAUAUGUCAUAUUAAAAUUAUUAACAAUUUAAUACCUCUUU